AUUGAACGCUGGCGGCAUGCUUUAUACAUGCAAGUCGAACGGUAACGCGGGGGCAACCCUGGCGACGAGUGGCGAACGGGUGAGUAAUACAUCGGAACGUGUCCUGGAGUGGGGGAUAGCUCGGCGAAAGCCGGAUUAAUACCGCAUACGCUCUGAGGAGGAAAGCGGGGGACCUUCGGGCCUCGCGCUGCGGGAGCGGCCGAUGUCGGAUUAGCUAGUUGGUGGGGUAAAGGCCCACCAAGGCGACGAUCCGUAGCUGGUCUGAGAGGAUGGUCAGCCACACUGGGGCUGAGACACGGCCCAGACUCCUACGGGAGGCAGCAGUGGGGAAUUUUGGACAAUGGGGGCAACCCUGAUCCAGCCAUGCCGCGUGAGUGAAGAAGGCCUUCGGGUUGUAAAGCUCUUUCGGACGGAACGAAACGGUUACGGUGAAUAAUCGUGACUAAUGACGGUACCGUAAGAAGAAGCACCGGCUAACUACGUGCCAGCCGCCGCCGUAA
RNAcentral lists this ribosomal RNA (500 nucleotides) under uncultured bacterium. Its description in RNAcentral is "partial 16S ribosomal RNA". It matches the Rfam family "Bacterial small subunit ribosomal RNA", at positions 29 to 523 of the family's 1533-position model. The record is from RNAcentral.